Molecule: ribosomal RNA, 400 nt
Filed under: uncultured bacterium
Lineage: Bacteria
Description: bacterial SSU rRNA
Rfam family: Bacterial small subunit ribosomal RNA
Source: RNAcentral
GGGGAAUAUUGCACAAUGGGGGAAACCCUGAUGCAGCAGCGCCGCGUGAGCGAUGAAGGCCUUCGGGUUGUAAAGCUCUGUCUUCUCUGACGAUAAUGACGGUAAGAGAGGAGGAAGCCACGGCUAACUACGUGCCAGCAGCCGCGGUAAUACGUAGGUGGCAAGCGUUGUCCGGAAUUAUUGGGCGUAAAGGAUGCGUAGGCGGUCUUUUAAGUGGGAUGUGAAAUACCCGGGCUUAACCUGGGAAUGGCAUUCCAAACUGGAAGACUAGAGUGCAGGAGAGGAAAGUGGAAUUCCCAGUGUAGCGGUGAAAUGCGUAGAGAUUGGGAGGAACACCAGUGGCGAAGGCGGCUUUCUGGACGGUAACUGACGCUGAGGCGCGAAAGCGUGGGGAGCAAAC